ACGACCCCCAUUGCUGAGCCAGCGGAGCUGCUUGAUCCAAAGUCCACAAAUAUAUCAUAAAUCUGAAGAGGAACUGGGAGAAGCUUCUGCUGGCAGCUCAUGCCAUUGUUGCCAUUGAAAACCCUGCUGAUGUGUCAUAUCCUGCAGGAAUACUAGCUAGUGGGCUGUGCUGAAGUUUGCUGCUGCUGCUGGAGCCACAUGUAUUGCUGGUCACUUCACUUCUGGAACCUUUGCUAACCAGAUCCAAUCAUCUUCUGCCACCCACAUCUUCUGGUGGUUACUGAUUCUAGGGCUAACUAUCAGCCUCUCUCAGGGGCUUCUUAUGGUAACCUACCUACCUACCACUGCUGUAUGUAACAGAUUCUCCUCUGAGCUAUGUGGAUAUUGUCAUCCCAUGCAACAACAAGGAAGCUCAAUCACUGAGUCUAAUGUAGUGGAUGCUGGCCCAGGAAGCUCUGUGCAUGUGUUGCACCAUCUCCCAUGAUCAUGCCUGAUCUCUACUUCUAUAGAGAUCCUGAAGAGAUUGAAAAGGAAGAGUAGGCUGCAGCUGAAAAAGGAGGAAUUUCAAAGUGAAUGGACUGCUGUAGUGCAAGUUUACUGCUACUCAAUCUGAGGUUGCAGACUGGUUUAAAGACAUGCAGGUGCCCUCUGUGCCUAUUCAGCAGUUC
This 668-nucleotide long non-coding RNA is filed under the name Homo sapiens (human). Its description in RNAcentral is "non-protein coding lnc-KHDC3L-2:7". Lineage: Eukaryota; Metazoa; Chordata; Mammalia; Primates; Hominidae. The record is from RNAcentral.